RNAcentral lists this transfer RNA (72 nucleotides) under Chitinophagaceae bacterium. Its description in RNAcentral is "tRNA-Gly". It matches the Rfam family "tRNA". Rfam says of the family: Transfer RNA (tRNA) molecules are approximately 80 nucleotides in length. Their secondary structure includes four short double-helical elements and three loops (D, anti-codon, and T loops). RNAcentral also lists the same sequence under 7 other names. The record is from RNAcentral. Lineage: Bacteria; Pseudomonadati; Bacteroidota; Chitinophagia; Chitinophagales; Chitinophagaceae.
GCGGCAGUAGCUCAGUGGUAGAGCUUCAGUUUCCCAAACUGAAGGUCGUGGGUUCGAUUCCCAUUUGCCGCU